This is a small nucleolar RNA of Argiope bruennichi, 120 nucleotides long. RefSeq annotates it as small nucleolar RNA SNORA13. The record is from RefSeq and is a predicted model, not a curated record. NCBI's taxonomy places the organism in Eukaryota, Metazoa, Arthropoda, Arachnida, Araneae, Araneidae. The transcript has a single exon.
UGCCUUAGUGUUACCUGUUCGUUAAUUAUUGGCUAACAGUGUGUCAAAUAAGGCAGAUAUUAAAAAGAACUGCUUAUAUUUUUGCUUCUUUCAUACUAAGAAAAAGUGGUUCUGACAUUU